AAUAGAUACCCGGUAGUCCACGCCGUAAACGAUGAAUACUAGGUGUAGGGGUUGUCAUGACCUCUGUGCCGCCGCUAACGCAUUAAGUAUUCCGCCUGGGGAGUACGGUCGCAAGAUUAAAACUCAAAGGAAUUGACGGGGGCCCGCACAAGCAGCGGAGCAUGUGGUUUAAUUCGAAGCAACGCGAAGAACCUUACCUAGACUUGACAUCUCCUGAAUUACCCUUAAUCGGGGAAGCCCUUCGGGGCAGGAAGACAGGUGGUGCAUGGUUGUCGUCAGCUCGUGUCGUGAGAUGUUGGGUUAAGUCCCGCAACGAGCGCAACCCUUAUUGUUAGUUGCUACCAUUUAGUUGAGCACUCUAGCGAGACUGCCCGGGUUAACCGGGAGGAAGGUGGGGAUGACGUCAAAUCAUCAUGCCCCGUUAUGUCUAGGGCUACACACGUGCUACAAUGGCUGGUACAGAGAGAUGCUAAACCGUGAGGUGGAGCCAAACUUUAAAACCAGUCUCAGUUCGGAUUGUAGGCUGAAACUCGCCUACA
RNAcentral lists this ribosomal RNA (539 nucleotides) under uncultured bacterium. RNAcentral's name for it is "bacterial SSU rRNA". It matches the Rfam family "Bacterial small subunit ribosomal RNA", at positions 777 to 1320 of the family's 1533-position model. The record is from RNAcentral.